GACGAACGCUGGCGGCGUGCCUAAUACAUGCAAGUCGAGCGGACCUCUUCGGAGGUCAGCGGCGGACGGGUGAGUAACACGUGGGCAACCUGCCUGUAAGACUGGGAUAACACCGGGAAACCGGUGCUAAUACCGGAUAAUCCUUUUCUUCACAUGGGGAAAAGCUGAAAGACGGUUUCGGCUGUCACUUACAGAUGGGCCCGCGGCGCAUUAGCUAGUUGGUGAGGUAACGGCUCACCAAGGCGACGAUGCGUAGCCGACCUGAGAGGGUGAUCGGCCACACUGGGACUGAGACACGGCCCAGACUCCUACGGGAGGCAGCAGUAGGGAAUCUUCCGCAAUGGACGAAAGUCUGACGGAGCAACGCCGCGUGAGCGAAGAAGGCCUUCGGAUCGUAAAGCUCUGUUGUCAGGGAAGAACACGUACCGGAGUAACUGCCGGUACCUUGACGGUACCUGACCAGAAAGCCACGGCUAACUACGUGCCAGCCGCCGCGGAAA
This 500-nucleotide ribosomal RNA is filed under the name uncultured bacterium. RNAcentral's name for it is "partial 16S ribosomal RNA". It matches the Rfam family "Bacterial small subunit ribosomal RNA", at positions 28 to 523 of the family's 1533-position model. The record is from RNAcentral.